Molecule: long non-coding RNA, 217 nt
Organism: Micropterus salmoides (largemouth bass)
Lineage: Eukaryota; Metazoa; Chordata; Actinopteri; Centrarchiformes; Centrarchidae
Exons: 2
Source: RefSeq, a predicted model, not a curated record
UUACAGCUGCAAGACCAUCAGCAGGAGCCAUCAUGGUGGGAAAAGGGAAACACUCGACACGUGUGCUGUCAUUCAGGAUGUGAAAAUUGUUGCAUCCAUCAUCUCAAAUGAACUGCCCAGCAAAAAGGGGAUUAGCUGCUGAACCCGAGAUGAAAGACUAAGGGAGUCAGUGUUUUAUAUUUUGUCAUCUUAAUAAACUUUCUUGGGUUACUUUUCC